Microplitis mediator is the source of this 554-nucleotide long non-coding RNA. RefSeq lists it as uncharacterized. The transcript is spliced from 3 exons. The record is from RefSeq and is a predicted model, not a curated record. NCBI's taxonomy places the organism in Eukaryota, Metazoa, Arthropoda, Insecta, Hymenoptera, Braconidae.
GGCAUAUUGAAGGCUAUCCCCUGAACCAUUUUGCGAAUAUAUUAAGACCUAUUUUUCCACCAACCUGUACUCACUGUUCAGAAGCUUCUGAAGAAUCAACAGAACAGUAUUGACCUCAUUUCAAUAGCUCUUUGAAAUAACUCUACAGUAUAGCGGGAAUAUCUUAUCGAAAUAAUUAUUAAAUAUUUCCAGAAAAAAAAAAAACCAAAAUGGGGCGAGUUAUUUUAUUAUUAUCAAUAAUUUUAUUCGUUGGCUGCUCCUGUGUUUCUGCUUGGGCACCUGAUAGUUGUGAUGGCCAUUGGUGUUCUUGGGCCUGUCCGUGUGGCUGUUCGACAUACACUUGUAAUGGAGUUUUUAAUGGUAACUGUGAACCCGUUGCCGGAUCUGGAAGAAAGUAAACUGGAAUUUCUCAAAGAGUAAAGAUUUACGAAUUCGUAGUCAGAAUUAUACUAAAAAUUUAAAAUUUAAGAUGUUUGUUUCAACAAAAUUGUGUCUUAUGAAUAUUGUAAUAUCGGUCCAAUUCAACAAUAAUGAAUAUAUAUAAUUAUAAUAAU